RNAcentral lists this ribosomal RNA (484 nucleotides) under uncultured bacterium. RNAcentral's name for it is "partial 16S ribosomal RNA". It matches the Rfam family "Bacterial small subunit ribosomal RNA", at positions 30 to 507 of the family's 1533-position model. The record is from RNAcentral.
AUUGAACGCUGGCGGCAGGCCUAACACAUGCAAGUCGAGCGGAUGAAGGGAGCUUGCUCCUGGAUUCAGCGGCGGACGGGUGAGUAAUGCCUAGGAAUCUGCCUGGUAGUGGGGGAUAACGUCCGGAAACGGGCGCUAAUACCGCAUACGUCCUGAGGGAGAAAGUGGGGGAUCUUCGGACCUCACGCUAUCAGAUGAGCCUAGGUCGGAUUAGCUAGUUGGUGGGGUAAAGGCCUACCAAGGCGACGAUCCGUAACUGGUCUGAGAGGAUGAUCAGUCACACUGGAACUGAGACACGGUCCAGACUCCUACGGGAGGCAGCAGUGGGGAAUAUUGGACAAUGGGCGAAAGCCUGAUCCAGCCAUGCCGCGUGUGUGAAGAAGGUCUUCGGAUUGUAAAGCACUUUUAGUUGGGAAGAAGGGCAGUAAAUUAAUACCUUGCUGUUUUGACGUUACCAACAGAGUAAGCACCGGCUAACUUCGUG